UAUAUUUAGGUGUUUGAUGCACGGAAGUUUUUGAUAUUUCAGGUAAUAGUUUAAUUCUAUUAAGUAUAA
RNAcentral lists this transfer RNA (69 nucleotides) under Phraortes lianzhouensis. Its description in RNAcentral is "tRNA-Gln". Lineage: Eukaryota; Metazoa; Arthropoda; Insecta; Phasmatodea; Lonchodidae. The record is from RNAcentral.